GAGCCGAUAGCUCAGUUGGUAGAGCACUGCCCUUUUAAGGCAGGUGUCCUGGGUUCGAGUCCCAGUCGGCUCA
Molecule: transfer RNA, 73 nt
Filed under: Candidatus Omnitrophota bacterium
Lineage: Bacteria; Pseudomonadati; Candidatus Omnitrophota
Description: Candidatus Omnitrophica bacterium (groundwater metagenome) tRNA-Lys
Rfam family: tRNA
About the family: Transfer RNA (tRNA) molecules are approximately 80 nucleotides in length. Their secondary structure includes four short double-helical elements and three loops (D, anti-codon, and T loops).
Source: RNAcentral